UGGUUUAGGAUUUGGUUAGGAUUUGAUUUAGGAUUAGGAUUUGGUUAGGGUUUAAUUUAGGAUUAGGAUUUGAUUAGGGUUUAAUUUAGAAUUAAGAUUUGAUUAGGGUUUGAUUUGGAUUUAGGAUUUGGUUAGGAUUUGGUUAGGAUUUGAUUUAGAAUUAGGAUUUGAUUAGAAUUUGGUUAGGAUUUGAUUUAGAAUUAGGAUUUGAUUAGGAUUUGAUUUAGGAUUUAGGAUUGGAUUAGGAUUUGAUUUAGGAUUUAGGAUUGGAUUAGGAUUUGAUUUAGGAUUUAGGAUUUAUUUUAGGAUUUAAGGUUUGAUUAGAGUUUGGUCAUGAUUUGAUUUAGAAUUUAGGAUUUUAUUUGAGUUUAUUUAGGAUUUAAGAUUUAGUUAGUUUUUGGCUUAAAUUUUGAAU
This 415-nucleotide long non-coding RNA is filed under the name Physcomitrium patens. RNAcentral's name for it is "long non-coding RNA (PPAT_LNC003702)". The record is from RNAcentral. Lineage: Eukaryota; Viridiplantae; Streptophyta; Bryopsida; Funariales; Funariaceae.